RNAcentral lists this ribosomal RNA (1413 nucleotides) under Triticum aestivum (bread wheat). RNAcentral's name for it is "partial small subunit ribosomal RNA". Lineage: Eukaryota; Viridiplantae; Streptophyta; Magnoliopsida; Poales; Poaceae. The record is from RNAcentral.
AUGGAGUUCACGGAGGCGUACAAGCAGACGGGCCCGUGCUGCUUCUCUCCCGACGCCCGCUUCCUCGCCGUCGCCUGCGACUACCGCCUCGUGGUCCGCGACGUCGUCACCCUCAAGGUGGUGCAGUUGUUUUCAUGUGUAGACAAGAUAAACUUUUUGGAGUGGGCACCAGAUUCAGAAUACAUUCUAUGUGGACUUUACAAGCGGCCAAUGGUGCAGGCUUGGUCGCUGAGCCAGCCUGACUGGACCUGUAAGAUUGAUGAAGGAUCUGCAGGGAUUGCUUAUGCUCGCUGGAGUCCUGACAGUCGUCAUAUACUCACUACAUCAGAGUUCCAACUCCGUUUGACUGUAUGGUCUCUUGUAAAUACUGCCUGCGUUCAUGUACAGUGGCCAAAGCAUGCAGCCCGAGGUGUUUCUUUCACUAAGGAUGGGAAGUUUGCUGCGAUCUGCACCAGGCGGGACUGCAAAGAUUGCAUAAAUUUGCUCUCAUGUCAUUCCUGGGAGAUAAUGGGUGUAUUCGCUGUUGACACACUAGACUUGGCAGGUGUUGAGUGGUCGCCUGAUGACAGUGCUAUUGUGGCCUGGGAUUCACUUCUUGAAUACAAGGUUCUAAUAUAUUCACCGGAUGGGCGAUGCCUGUUCAAGUAUUCAGCAUAUGAAAGUGGGCUAGGUGUCAAAACUGUUGGUUGGUCACCUUGUGGACAAUUUUUAGCAGUGGGCAGCUAUGAUCAAUCAGUGCGAAUAUUGAACCAUUUGACAUGGAAAACCUUUGCCGAGUUCACUCAUGCAGCCUCGAUUCGAAGUCCCUAUAAUGCUGCAGUAUUUAAGGAAGUGGAUGACCCAUUUCAGCUUGAUAUGUCAGAGUUAUGUCUAAGCGAAGGCUUGUCUCGUAACAUGCGAGACAAUGGCACUGAAAAUGGCUCAGAAGGAGGUUCUAGAGUAAAAUAUGCUGUGAUGGAUGUUCCAAUCACCGUGCCAGCACAGAAACCAGCUAGUGACAAGCCCAACCCCAAACAAGGAAUCGGUAUGCUGUCGUGGAGCAGCGACAGCCACUAUUUCUUCACCCGGAACGACAACAUGCCUACUGUUCUUUGGAUAUGGGACAUCUGCCGCCUCGAGCUUGCGGCCGUUCUUGUGCAGAAAGAUCCGAUCCGCGCUGCUGCCUGGGACCCUACAUGUCCACGCCUCGUAUUGUGCACGGAGAGCCCGCACCUGUACAUGUGGACACCAUCCGGCGCUUGCUGUGUCAACAUUCCCUUGCCAGAUUUCCGGAUAGUCGACUUGAAAUGGAACUCGGCAGGAAGCUGCCUCCUCCUGAAGGACCGCGAUUCCUUCUGCUGUGCCGCAAUCGUAUCCGCUCUGCCAGAGGAAGAACCCGAUGAGCAAACCGACGAGACCUCCGAAGACGAAUGA